Molecule: long non-coding RNA, 444 nt
Organism: Drosophila sulfurigaster albostrigata
Lineage: Eukaryota; Metazoa; Arthropoda; Insecta; Diptera; Drosophilidae
Exons: 2
Source: RefSeq, a predicted model, not a curated record
GUUCUGUCAAGUUGCUGUCUUUAAACUCUGCUCUUAUUAAAUACAACUUGAAUGGCUGUAGCUUUAAAAGCGAGCACAUUCAACGCUUAUUCAAAUAUUGAUUGCAAUUUGUUUGGUUUUUGGUGUAAAGGCACAACAGAUUUUGAGCUGAAACGCCAACAAUCUGGCAAAUGACGCGCGAAUCGUGCGAAAUUCGGUAUUCUGCGGGGGACAUGCAAAAUGUAAAAGACUUCAAAAAUGCUGCACCACUGAAAUUGAGGUCUUGCCCUGACCCGUUUCCGCAAAUGUCAAUUCCGGGCCACGCUGCUCAAUGGGCACCGGGGUGGUGCCCAUGUGACCACCGCCACCGCCGCCCAUGUGUCCGCCACCGUAACCCACCGGCAGCUGGGCGGGACUCUGCGUGUAGCUGGCCAGCGAGGACUCUGUGGUGCUCGGCUCACGUGU